AAGCUCACUUGCCCAUGCUGCUUAUUGAAAACUUAAAGCUCACUUGUCCCUGUCAUUUGUAAAAGAACUUAAAGCUCACUUAUCCUCAUUGUUAAUUGAAGAGCUUAAAGCAUAAAGCUCACUUGUCCCUGCUGCAUAUUAAACAGCAUAAAGCUCGCGUGUCCCUAUGGCUUAUAGAAAAGCUUGAAGGUUAGUUGUCCCAGUCUCUUAUAGAAGAGUUUAAAGCUCACGCUCCCUGUUGCUUAUAAAAGAGAUUAAAAUAAUCUUGUCCAUGUCCCUAAUAGAACAACUUAAAGCUCACAUAAAAGAGCAUGUAGCUCACGUGUCCAUAUGGAUAUAAAAUAGCAUAAAGCUCAACGUUUCCUUCCCAUUUAUGAAAAAGCUUAGAGGUCACUUGUCCCUCUCGCUUAUAAAAGGGCUUAAAGCUCACGGGUCCCUGUUGUUUAAUAUAAGAGCUUAAAGCUCACUUUUCUCUGCCACUCGUAAAAGACCAUAAAGCUUACUUGCUCCUGCCGCUUAUAAAAGAGCGUAAAGCUCACUUGUCCCUGUCAUUUAUGAAAGAGUUUUAACGCUCACUUGUUCCCAUCAUUAAUUAAAGAGCUUGAAGCAUAACGCUCACUUGUCCCUGCUGCUUAUUAAAGAGCAUAAAGCCCACUUGUCCCUCUGGCUUAUGGAAAAGCUUAAAGGUUGCUUGUCCCUGUCUCCUAUAGAAGAGUUUAAAGCUCAUGUGUCCAUGUUGCUUAUAAAAGAGAUUAAUAUAAACUUGUCCAUGUCCCUACUAAAAUAACUUAAAGCUCACAUAAAAGAGCAUGACGCUCACGUGUCCCGAUGUUGAUUAUAAAAGAGCUUAAAGCUCACUUGUCCUCGUCGCUUGCAAAAGAGCUAAAGCUCACUUGUCCCCCCUCCCCCCGCGCUUAUAAAAGAACUUAAAAGCUCACUUGUCUCUGCCGCUUAUAGAAGAGCUCAAAGUUCUGGGGUCUGUGUAUAUAAAAGAGCUUAAAGCUCAUGUGUCCCGGUUGCUUAUAAAAGAGCUUAAAGCUCACUUGUCCCUCUCGUUUAUAAAAAAGAGCAUAAAGGUCACAUGUCUUUAUCGCUUCUUAAAGAGCUUAAAGCUCACUUGUCCCUAUGGCUUAUAAAAGAGCUUGAAGCUCAUUCGUCCUGCUGCUUAUAAAAGAGUAGGAAGCUCACGUGUCAAUGUGGCUCAUAAAAGAGCUUAAAGUUUGCUUGUCUCUGUAGCUUAUAAAAGGGCUUAAAGCUGAAAGCUCAUGUGUCCUAUUGGCUUAUAAAAGAGUUUAAAGCUCACGUGUCCCUUCUGUUCAUAAAAGAGUUUAGUGCUCAUGUGUCCCUCUUACUUACAAAAGAGCGCAAUGCUCAUGUGUCACUCCUAAGCAAGAGCUUAAUGCUCACAUGUCCCUGGUGCUUAUAAAAGAGCUUAAAGCUCAUGUGUCCCGGUUGCUUAUAAAAGUGCUUAACACUCACGUGUCCUUGCUUAAGAAAGAGUUUAAUGCUCAUAACCCAAUGAUUACGAAAUAGCUUGAUGAUCAUGUGUGAAAGCGCUUAAUGCUCAAAUGUCCCUGUUGCUUAUCUAAAAACUUUCUCGAGUGUCCCUGUUGCAUAUGAAAAGAGCUUAAUGCGCACGUAUCCCUCAGAGCUGAUGCUCACAUGUCCCUCAUGUGUCCCUGUGGCAUAUGAAAGAGCUUACAGCUCACUUGUCCCUAUCAAUUAUAAAAGUGCUUAAAGCUCACUUGUGCCUAUUCCUUAUUAAAGCGCCUAAAGCUUACGUGUUCCCUGUUGCUGAUAAAAGAGUUUCAAGUUUACUUGCCCCCAUCGCUUAUAAAAGAGCUUAAAGCUCACAUAAAAUAGCAUGAAGCUCACUUGUCCUUGUGAAUUAUAAAAGAGUUUAGAGCUCACUUGUCGGUGUCGCUUAUAAAAGAGCUUAAAGCUCACUUGUCCCUCCCACUUAUACAAGAGCAUAAAGCUCACGUGUCCUGGUUGCUUGUAAAAUAGCUUAUAGCUGACUUGUCCCUCUCUCUCGCUCUCUUAUAAAAGAGCUUAAACCUCACGUCUCCCUGUCACUUAUGAAAGAGCAUUCAGCUCACUUGUCUAUGUCACUUAUAAAGAGCUCAAAGCUCAUGUGUCUAUGUCCCUUAUAAAAGAGCAUGAAGCGCACGUGUCUCUGUGGCCUAUAAAAGAGCUUAAAGCUCACUUCUCCCUGUUGCUUAUCAAAGAGCUUAAAAGUUACUUGUCCCUCCCCAUUUGUAAAUGUCCCUGUCGUUUAUAAAAUUGCAUAUAGCUCAUGUGUCCUUGAUGCUUGUAAAAGAGCUUAAAGCUCACGUGUCUAUAUCGCUUAUAAAAGAGCUUAAAGCUCUAUAUCGCUUAUAAAAGGCUUAAAGCUCAUGUGUCUCUAUUGCUAAGGCUCAUGUGUCCCUAUUGUUUAUAAAAGAGCUUAACGGCACAGUUACUCUUGCUUAUAAAAGAGCUUAAUGCUCAUUUAUCCUAAUGAUUAUGAAGUAGCACAAUGCUUAUGAAAGAACUUGCUCAAAUGUCCAUGUUGCUUAUGAAAAGCGUCUAAUGCUCAGGUAUCACUCAUAGCUUGAUUCUCACAUGUCCCUACUGCUUAUGAAAGAGCUUAAAGCUCACUUAUCGUGUGGCUUAUGAAAGAGCCUAAAGCUCACUUGCCCUUGUUACUUAUAAAAUAGCAUAAAGCUCACUUGCCCAUGCUGCUUAUUGAAAAACUUUAAAGCUCACUUGUCCCUGUCAUUUGUAAAAGAACUUAAAGCUCACUUAUCCUCAUUGUUAAUUGAAGAGCUUAAAGAUAAAGCUCACUUAGGUCCCUCUGCAUAUUAAACACUAAAGCUCGCGUGUCCCUAUGGCUUAUAGAAAGCUUGAAGGUUAGUUGUCCCAGUCUCUUAUAAAAGAGUUUAAAGCUGACGCUCCCUGUUGCUUAUAAAAGAGAUUAAAAUAAUCUUGUCCAUGUCCCUAAUAGAACAUCUUAAAGUCACAUAAAAGAGAUGAGCUCACGUGUCCAUAUGGAUAUAAAAUAGCAUAAAGCUCAACGUUUCCUUCCCAUUUAUGAAAAAGCUUAGAGGUCACUUGUCUCUCUCGCUUAUAAAAGGGCUUAAAGCUCACGGGUCCCUGUUGUUUAAUAUAAGAGCUUAAAGUUCACCUUUCUCUGCCACUCGUAAAAGACCGUAAAGCUUACUUGCUCCUGCCGCUUAUAAAAGAGCGUAAAACUCACUUGUCCCUGUCAUUUAUGAAAGAGUUUUAACGAUCACUUGUUCCCAUCAUUAAUUAAAGAGCUUGAAGCAUAACGCUCACUUGUCCCUGCUGCUUAUUAAACAACAUAAAGCCCACUUGUCCCUCUGGCUUAUGGAAAAGCUUAAAGGUUGCUCGUCCCUGUCUCCUAUAGAAGAGUUUAAAGCUCAUGUGUCCAUGUUGCUACUAAAAUAACUUAAAGCUCACAUAACAGAGCAUGACGCUCACAUAUCCCGAUGUUGAUUAUAAAAGAGCUUAAAGCUCACUUGUCCUCGUCGCUUGCAAAAGAGCUUAAAGCUCACUUGUCCUCGUCGCUUGCAAAAGAGCUAAAGCUCACUUGUCCCCCAACGCCCCCGCUUAUAAAGAGCUUAAAAGCUCACUGUCUCUGCGCUUAUAAAGAGUUAAAGUUCUGGGGUCUGUAUAAAAGAGCUUAAAGCUCACUUGUCCCCUCGUUUAUAAAAAAGAGCAUAAAGGUCACAUGUCUUUAUCGCUUCUUAAAGAGCUUAAAGCUACUUGUCCCUAUGGCUUAUAAAAGAGCUUGAAGCUCAUUCGUCCUGCUGUUAAAAGAGUAUGAAGUUCACGUGUCCCUGUGGCUCAUAAAAGAGCUUAAACUUUGCUUCUCCCUGUAGCUUAUAAGGCGUAAAGAACUAUGUCAGUGUUCCUAUGGUAUAAAGUUUAAAGCUCACGUGUCCCUUCUGUUCACAGAAGAGUUUAGUGCUCAUGUGUCCCUCUUACUUACAAAAGAGCGCAAUGCUCAUGUGUCACUCCUAAGCAAGAGCUUAAUGCUCACAUGUCCCUGGUGCUUAUAAAAGAGCUUAAAGCUCAUGUGUCCCGGUUGCUUAUAAAAGUGCUUAAGACUCACGUGUCCUUGCUUAAAAUGCUCAUAACCCAAUGAUUACGAAAUAGCUUGAUGAUCAUGUGUGAAAGCGCUUGAUGCUCAAAUGUCCCUGUUGCUUAUCUAAAAACUUUCUCGAGUGUCCCUGUUGCAUAUGAAAAGAGCUUAAUGCGCACGUAUCCCUCAGAGCUGAUGCUCACAUGUCCCUCAUGUGUCCCUGUGGCAUAUGAAAGAGCUUACAGCUCACUUGUCCCUAUCAAUUAUAACAGAGCUUAAAGCUCACUUGUCCCUAUUCCUUAUUAAAGCGCCUAAAGCUUACGUGUUCCGUGUUGCUUAUAAAAGAGUUUCAAGUUUACUUGCCCCCAUCACUUAUAAAAGAGCUUAAAGCUCACAUAAAAUAGCAUGAAGCUCACUUGUCCUUGUGAAUUAUAAAAGAGUUUAGAGCUCACUUGUCGGUGUCGCUUAUAAAAGAGCUUAAAGCUCACUUGUCCCUACUUAUACAAGAGCAUAAAGCUACGUGUCCUGGUUGCUUGUAAAUAGCUUAUAGAUUCCUCUCUCUCUCUUAUAAAAGAGCUUAAACCUCACGUCUCCCUGUCACUUAUAAAAGAGCAUUCAGCUCACUUGUCUAUGUCUUAAAAGAGCUCAAAGCUCAUGUGUCCAUGUCCCUUAUAAAAGAGCAUGAAGCGCACGUGUCUCUGUGGCCUAUAAAAGAGCUUAAAGCUCACUUCUCCCUGUUGCUUAUCAAAGAGCUUAAAAGUUACUUGUCCCUCCCCAUUUGUAAAUGUCCCUGCGUUUAUAAAAUUGCAUAUAGCUCAUGUGUCCUUGAUGCUUGUAAAAGAGCUUAAAGCUCACGUGUCUAUAUCGCUUAUAAAAGAGCUUAAGGCUCAUGUGUCUCUAGCUUAAGGCUCAUUUGUAAAAAAGAGCUUAACGGCACAUGUUCUCUUGCUUAUAAAAGAGCUUAAUGCUCAUAUCCUAAUGAUUAUGAAGUAGCACAAUGCUUAUGAAAGAAUUGCUCAAAUGUCCAUGUUGCUUAUGAAAAGCGUCUAAUGCUCAGGUAUCACUCAUAGCUUGAUUCUACAUGUCCCUACUGCUUAUAAAGAGCUUAAGCUCACUUAUCGUGUGGCUUAUGAAAGAGCCUAAAGCUCACUUGCCCUUGUUACUUAUAAAAAGCAUAAAGCUCACUUGCCCAUGCUGCUUAUUGAAAAACUUAAAGCUCACUUGUCCCUGUCAUUUGUAAAAGAACUUAACUCACUUAUCCUCAUGUUAAUUGAAGAGUUAAAGCAUAAAGCUCACUUGUCCCUCUGCAUAUUAAACAGCAUAAAGCUCGCGUGUCCCUAUGGCUUAUAGAAAAGCUUGAAGGUUAGUUGUCCCAGUCUCUUAUAGAAGAGUUUAAAGCUCACGUCCUGUUGCUUAUAAAAGAGAUUAAAAUAAUCUUGUCCAUGCCCUAAUAGAACAACUUAAAGCUCACAUAAAAGAGCAUGUAGCUCACGUGUCCAUAUGGAUAUAAAAUAGCAUAAAGCAACUUUCUUCCCAUUUAUGAAAAAGCUUAAGGUCACUUGUCCCUCUCGCUUAUAAAAGGGCUUAAAGCUCACGGUCCUGUUGUUAAUAUAAGAGCUUAAAGCUCACUUUUCUCUGCCACUCGUAAGACCAUAAAGCUUACUUGUCUGCCGCUUAUAAAAGAGCGUAAACUCACUUGUCCUGUCAUUUAUGAAAGAGUUUUAACGCUCACUUGUUCCCAUCAUUAAUUAAGAGCUUGAAGCAUAACGUCACUGUCCACUGCUUAUUAAAGAGCAUAAAGCCCACUUGUCCCUAUGGCUUAUGGAAAAGCUUAAAG
Molecule: long non-coding RNA, 5924 nt
Filed under: Salvia miltiorrhiza (redroot sage)
Lineage: Eukaryota; Viridiplantae; Streptophyta; Magnoliopsida; Lamiales; Lamiaceae
Description: long non-coding RNA (SMIL_LNC004879)
Source: RNAcentral